Molecule: ribosomal RNA, 667 nt
Filed under: uncultured Alphaproteobacteria bacterium
Lineage: Bacteria; Pseudomonadati; Pseudomonadota; Alphaproteobacteria
Description: bacterial SSU rRNA
Rfam family: Bacterial small subunit ribosomal RNA
Source: RNAcentral
GUUGAGCGAGAACCAGAGGGCUUGCUCUUUGGGGAAAGCAGCGCACGGGUGAGCAACGCGUGGAUAACGUGCCCUAGGGUUGGGGAUAACCCACCGAAAGGUGGGCUAAUACCGAAUGUGUUCCCGAGAGGUUUGCCUUUUGGGAAGAAAGUGGGGUAACCCACGCCCAAGGAUCGGUCCGCGUUCCAUCAGUUUGUUGGUGGGGUAAUGGCCUACCAAGACUACGACGGAUAGCUGGUCUGAGAGGAUGAUCAGCCACACUGGGACUGAGACACGGCCCAGACUCCUACGGGAGGCAGCAGUGGGGAAUAUUGGUCAAUGGGCGAAAGCCUGAACCAGCAAUGCCGCGUGAGUGAUGAAGGCCUUCGGGUUGUAAAGCUCUGUCAGUGGGAACGAAUAAGCCGGUUAAUACCCGGUGGUGACGGUACCCACAAAGGAAGCACCGGCUAACUCUGUGCCAGCAGCCGCGGUAAUACAGAGGGUGCAAGCGUUGUUCGGAAUUACUGGGCGUAAAGCGCGUGUAGGCGGUCUAGCAAGUCGGUCGUGAAAUCCCUUGGCUUAACCAAGGAACUGCGUUCGAAACUACUGGACUAGAGUAUCGGAGGGGGUGGCGGAAUUCCCGGUGUGGAGGUGAAAUUCGUAGAUAUCGGGAGGAACACCUGUGGCG